Molecule: ribosomal RNA, 274 nt
Filed under: uncultured bacterium
Lineage: Bacteria
Description: partial 16S ribosomal RNA
Rfam family: Bacterial small subunit ribosomal RNA
Source: RNAcentral
AUACGGGGGAUGCAAGUGUUAUUCGGAAUCAUUGGGCGUAAAGGGCACGCAGGCGGUUCUGUCAGUCAGAUGUGAAAGCCCGGGGCUUAACCCCGGACGUGCAUUUGAAACAGCAGGACUUGAGUAUGGUAGAGGAAAGCGGAAUUCCUGGUGUAGAGGUGAAAUUCGUAGAUAUCAGGAGGAACACCGGUGGCGAAGGCGGCUUUCUGGACCAAAACUGACGCUGAGGUGCGAAGGCGUGGGUAGCGAACAGGAUUAGAAACCCCAGUAGUCC